GUGCCAGCCGCCGCGGUAAUACGUAGGGUGCAAGCGUUGUCCGGAUUUACUGGGUGUAAAGGGAGCGCAGGCGGGACGGCAAGUCAGAUGUGAAAGCCACGGGCUCAACCCCUGAACUGCAUUGGAAACUGUCGUACUUGAGUGUCGGAGAGGUAAGCGGAAUUCCUAGUGUAGCGGUGAAAUGCGUAGAUAUUAGGAGGAACACCAGUGGCGAAGGCGGUCUACUGGACGACAACUGACGCUGAGGCUCGAAAGCGUGGGGAGCAAACAGGAUUAGAUACCCCAGUAGUCC
Molecule: ribosomal RNA, 292 nt
Filed under: Klebsiella variicola
Lineage: Bacteria; Pseudomonadati; Pseudomonadota; Gammaproteobacteria; Enterobacterales; Enterobacteriaceae
Description: partial 16S ribosomal RNA
Rfam family: Bacterial small subunit ribosomal RNA
Source: RNAcentral